UUUUUUCUAGAAGCCUAUUAUGUCUGAUAUAAAUAUAGCCACUCCUACACCUUUUUGGUUAUACUUUGCCUGAUAUAUUUUCUUACCUUUUAACUGUUAACCUAUGUGUGCCCUUAAAUCUAAAGUAAGUCUCUUGUGUGAAGCAUACUGUUAAACUUUUAAAUCUAUUUAGACAUUCUGUGAAUGUUUUAGUUUAUUUUCUGGGUAAUUUAUAAAGAAUAAAAGUUGGCUUAGCUGAUUGUUUUGUAUGCUGGAAGUCCAAGAGCAUGCCAUUGCCACCUGAUGAGAACCAUAUUUCCACGUCAGGAAAUGACCAAACGCAUGAGGAGGACAGAAGCUGUACACCAGAGAGCUUACCUCUAUAAUUCACUCUCCUGACAAGUAAACCGCUCUGGAAAAAAUAACAUUCAUUCAUUCAUUCAUUCAUGAGAGUAGAGCCCUCAUGACCUAAUAUGUUCUUAAAAAUCUAACUUUCUAAUUUUGAGCUGCCUGGGCAGGCUGGGAGGCGCGGGUUGAAAGUCUCCUUCCAAGUUUGGAGAGAGAGAAGAGCGCCUCAGACCUUGGUACCCACGAGUGGGGAGGAGGCAGGAAAGAAGGACGUGGCGUCUGGGGAGCACCCAGGCCGCAAGACAGGGCCCGGGCUUUCGUGAGUGGGAAGUGUGUGACGCGCUUGGGAAACGCAGGAGCACCAGUGGUCGGGCUGCUCUCGGCUAAGAGGGGAGUCCUAGGCGGCGGCGAGGGGCGAAGGACCCCACGCAAAAUGGCAAGUAAAGAGAUGUUUGAAGAUACUGUGGAGGAGCGUGUCAUCAAUGAAGAAUAUAAAAUCUGGAAAAAGAAUACACCGUUUCUAUAUGACCUGGUUAGGACCCAUGCUCUUCAGUGGCCCAGUCUUACCGUUCAGUGGCUUCCUGAAUUGACUAAACCGGAAGGAAAAGAUUAUGCCCUUCGUUGGCUAGUGCUGGGGACUCAUAUUUCUGAUGAGCAGAAUCAUCUGGUGGUUGCUCGAGUACAUAUUCCCAAUGAUGAUGCACAGUUUGAAGCUUCCCAUUGUGACAGUGACAAGGGUGAAUUUGGUGGCUUUGGUUCUGUAACAGGAAAAAUUGAAUGUGAAAUUAAAAUCAAUCACGAAGGAGAAGUAAACCAUGCUCCUUACAUGCCGCAGAAUCCUCAUAUCAUUGCGACAAAAACACCAUCUUCUGGUGCGUUGGUUUUUGACUACACAAAACACCCUGCUAAACCAGACCCAAGUGGAGAAUGUAUUCCUGAUCUCAGGUUAAGAGGUCACCAGAAGGAAGGCUAUGGUCUCUCCUGGAAUUCGAAUUUGAGUGGACAUCUCCUAAGUGCAUCUGAUGACCAUACUGUCUGUCUGCCGGAUAUAAACGCAGGACCAAAGGAAGGCAAAAUUGUGGAUGCUAAAGCGAUCUUUACCGGCCACUCAGCUGUUGUGGAGGAUGUGGCCUGGCACCUGCUGCACGAGUCACUGUUUGGAUCUGUUGCUGAUAAUCAGAAACUGAUGAUAUGGGACACCAGGUCCAAUGCCACCUCCAAGCUGAGCCACUUGGUGGAUGCACACAGUGCCGAAGUCAAUUGCCUCUCAUUCAAUCCCUACAGUGAAUUUAUUCUAGCCACGGGCUCUGCAGAUAAGAUCGUAGUUUUAUGGGAUCUGCGUAACUUAAAAUUAAAACUCCAUACCUUCGAAUCUCAUAAAGAUGAAAUUUUCCAGGUCCACUGGUCUCCACAUAAUGAAACUAUUCUGGCUUCAGGUGGUACGGACUGCCGCCUGAAUGUGUGGGAUUUAAGUAAAAUUGGGGAAUAACAAUCAGCAGAAGAUGCAGAAGACGGGCCUCCAGAACUGUUUAUUCAUGGAGGACACACUGCCAAGAUUUCAGAUGUUAGUCAGAAUCCCAAUGAGCCUUGGGUCAUUUGCUCAGUGUCUGAGGAUAACAUCAUGCAGAUAUGGCAAAUGGCUGAAAAUAUUUACAAUGAUGAAGAGUUGGAUGUCACGACAUCGGAACUGGAGGAACAAGGAUCUUAAACC
Sapajus apella (tufted capuchin) is the source of this 2038-nucleotide RNA transcript. It is a transcript of the gene named histone-binding protein RBBP7 pseudogene, with no coding region annotated. The record is from RefSeq and is a predicted model, not a curated record. The transcript has a single exon. Lineage: Eukaryota; Metazoa; Chordata; Mammalia; Primates; Cebidae.